CAAUUUCUUUACUAGAUCAACUCAGGGUAAGUACUGGCUUACAAAUAAACAUUUUGUAGUAUUUUGGUAAUAGCAAAAUUAUGUUGAUAGGGAGGACAAGAUGAUGGCAGCGUGUGCAGAUGCAGCAGCUCAGCUCUCCCUCAGUUUUCAAAGCACAUUCACCGGUCUCAGUUUACUUUUCACCAGAGACCACAGCACAGCUUUCGCAUUUCACACUACUUCCACCCCCUCAGAGAUCCUAUGUCCCCCCAGAGCCCAUUGGAAGUAACCUAACAUUCAGAAUUGCCUUCCCACCAGCGAGGCAGUGCAGGCGGCAGAGGGAGAGGAACAGAAGCGAGGGGCGCGAGCCCAGGCCACGGGACGAGCUCGGCUACAGGCUGACCGGUACAGACCAGCACUUCUGAGCCUGUUCCUCUCCAUCCCAGAGAGGAAGUAAAGUACAGUCACUGGUCUGAAUGCAGUUUUCAAGGAUUUCAAACACAGAGAUACCAGUGCAAUGGACAAGUUAAUCUACACCUCUUUCUCAUUCUACCUCUUUACAGCACAUUGGCUCAGUGCGGAGAGUUGUUGGCCUCACAGAUCUAGUUCCUGUCAUGGCUGGUUCCAGAAGGAAGCGGCAGACCCAAGUGCAGAGUGGAAUUCAUGGUUUAUUCAGGAAAAUCCGAGAGACGUGGUCACAGGACAGGCAAUUGGUCUCCGAGGCGCGAACGUCGUAACAAGGACAACCCAAAAGGCAAGGUCGGUAAACAGGCAAGAGGUCGGGGAUCAUAAGGUGGUACAAGGACGAAGGAUCAGGGUUACGGGACAGGGAAAGGACUCAAGGAUCAGGGAGGAAUAGAGCACUAGUCAGGAGGUUGAACAAGGUUCCGUGUCAACUCCUGGUCUGACACUGCCUUUUAUGCCUCAGUCUGCGUCAUGCCCCAGGUGUUCCACGUUAGCUCGGCGGUGUGGGCGUUGCACUUCCAGCUAUAACUACUGUAUGUAAAGCUGACAUGUUCACAGCAGGUAAUAAAGGUCUUCGUCACACUCCA
RNAcentral lists this long non-coding RNA (1031 nucleotides) under Scleropages formosus (Asian bonytongue). Its description in RNAcentral is "lncRNA (ENSSFOG00015025822.1)". Lineage: Eukaryota; Metazoa; Chordata; Actinopteri; Osteoglossiformes; Osteoglossidae. The record is from RNAcentral.